Molecule: microRNA precursor, 204 nt
Filed under: Oryza brachyantha (malo sina)
Lineage: Eukaryota; Viridiplantae; Streptophyta; Magnoliopsida; Poales; Poaceae
Description: MIR812 microRNA precursor family
Rfam family: MIR812 microRNA precursor family
Source: Rfam by way of RNAcentral
AAUAAACCAAUCUUUUACUUUUUUUGUUACAAUGUUUGACGCUUCAUCUUAUCUAACAAUACGAUUAAUAUUUUUGUUUUUAUUAGAUGAUAAAUCAUGAAUAGUACUUUACGUAUGACUAAUUUUUUUUAAUUUUUUGAAAAAUUUUCAAAUAAAACGAAUAGUCAAACGUUAGACACAGAUGGUUAAAAGUUUGCACAGAGC